RNAcentral lists this ribosomal RNA (877 nucleotides) under uncultured euryarchaeote. RNAcentral's name for it is "bacterial SSU rRNA". It matches the Rfam family "Archaeal small subunit ribosomal RNA", at positions 21 to 903 of the family's 1478-position model. Lineage: Archaea; Methanobacteriati; Methanobacteriota. The record is from RNAcentral.
AGGCUACUGCUAUUGGGAUUCGACUAAGCCAUGCGAGUCAAGGUGUCUUCGGACGCCGGCGUACGGCUCAGUAACACGUAGGUAACCUACCCUCAGGACUGAGAUAACCCCGGGAAACUGGGGCUAAUAUUAGAUAGAUAAAAGGUACUGGAAUGUUCUUUUAUCCAAAGCUUUUGCGCCUGAGGAUGGGCCUGCGUCCGAUUAGGUUGUUGGUGGGGUAAUGGCCCACCAAGCCUGCGAUCGGUACGGGCAGUGAGAGCUGAAGCCCGGAGUUGGGGACUGAGACAAGGCCCCAGGCCCUACGGGGCGCAGCAGGCGCGAAACCUCUGCAAUGCGGGAAACCGUGACAGGGGGAUCCCAAGUGCUCAUGCAUUGCAUGGGCUGUUCUUUGGUCUAAGUAACCAGAGGAGUAAGGGCUGGGCAAGACCGGUGCCAGCCGCCGCGGUAAUACCGGCAGCUCAAGUGGUAGCCGCGAUUAUUGGGCCUAAAGCGUUCGUAGCCGGAUAAGUAAGUCUUUGGUUAAAUUCUGCGACUUAACCGUGGGAAAUCUAGAGAUACUGCUUGUCUUGAGACCGGGAGAGGUUGGAGGUACUCCCAGGGUAGGGGUGAAAUCCUGUAAUCCUGGGGGGACCACCUGUGGCGAAGGCGUCCAACUGGAACGGGUCUGACGGUGAGGGACGAAACCUAGGGGAGCGAGCCGGAUUAGAUACCCGGGUAGUCCUAGGCGUAAAUGAUGCGAGUUAAGUGUGGGGGCAUCCACGAGAUGGCCCUGUGCUGUAGGGUAGCCGUUAAACUCGCCGCCUGGGGAGUACGGUCGCAAGGCUGAAACUUAAAGGAAUUGGCGGGGGAGCACCACAAGAGGUGGAGGCUGCGGUUC